UCCUGUCUCAUCAGUGAGAUUAUUGGCCUA
This 30-nucleotide non-coding RNA is filed under the name Rattus norvegicus (Norway rat). Lineage: Eukaryota; Metazoa; Chordata; Mammalia; Rodentia; Muridae. The record is from RNAcentral.